Molecule: long non-coding RNA, 1029 nt
Organism: Tympanuchus pallidicinctus (lesser prairie-chicken)
Lineage: Eukaryota; Metazoa; Chordata; Aves; Galliformes; Phasianidae
Exons: 4
Source: RefSeq, a predicted model, not a curated record
GGUUUCUCUUCUGGAGAUCCAUUGCACUGGAGUUACCUAUGCAAGCCCAGGACAGGGUGAAAGGAAACAUAAGAAAAGGCUGGGAAGAGUACAUCUGGUGCUGGGAUCAUGAUCCAGUGCAAACCUCAGCCAGCAAAGCAGUUUCAGGAACUAAGAUAUACCACUUGUGCGGCAUUAAAUCCAGAACUGUUCUACAAAAAAUUUUGGUAUGCUUAUUGAUGGAACAGAAUACAAAUGAGUGUGAAUAUUGCCUCACGACUGGAAUGAAUAACAACUUCCUUAUUUAAUUAAGCCGUUUGAGAUUUGCAUUUGUGCUCACUGAAGCAGUCUCUCGUUUCCUGUGUUAUCAUGGCUGCACCUCAGCUCAGAGGAAGAGUCCUAACAAAAUCACACACUGAAGUGGUACAGCUCUGGGCAGUUUUCAGAUCUCAAGUGACCUCAUGGAAUUGGCAUCUAAUUGUAUGCUCCCAGCUCCCACACUGGGCCAUGGAAACUCUUCUGGAAACCCUGGAAAGGAAUGAUGACAUGAAUUCAAUUUAAACAGCGUAUAUUAUAAAAGGUGUUAUUAUGUGUCACUGCAGACAUAAUAAUUUUGUCUCUCCAUUGUGUCCCCCCAGUUCUAGCCUUCCUAAAGUAUAUCCUGAAGCUUUGCAUUAAAUGGAAAUAAUUUGUUCCUCUGUUGAAAGGGAAUGUUCUGAUGCAUGUCUGAUAAAGUCAUCAAGAACACCUGUUAUUGUGUGCCAUAAUGGCCCACCAGAGUGUUUGAUUAGAGCAUUAUCCUUGUCAUGUUGAUGAGCUAAGGUAUGAUCUACCUCAAGAGGCUAAAUGGAAGACUUGAAGGAUAAAAAGAUCUGUUGUGCACUACAUGCAUGAUCUUGUGACUGAAAGCAUCGCAAGAGAUUAAGACAGCUCACUAGAUGUGUAGAAUGAGACAGUAUGUGUAAAUUAGCUUUGUUUACCAACAUUGAUAUGUUGUGAUUAUUCUAUCUAGCUUCACUUUAGCUUAAGAAUAAACUAGGGAAUACUCCA